RNAcentral lists this ribosomal RNA (165 nucleotides) under Variovorax paradoxus. Its description in RNAcentral is "partial 16S ribosomal RNA". It matches the Rfam family "Bacterial small subunit ribosomal RNA", at positions 613 to 776 of the family's 1533-position model. The record is from RNAcentral. Lineage: Bacteria; Pseudomonadati; Pseudomonadota; Betaproteobacteria; Burkholderiales; Comamonadaceae.
CCUGGGAACUGCAUCUGUGACUGCAUAGCUAGAGUACGGUAGAGGGGGAUGGAAUUCCGCGUGUAGCAGUGAAAUGCGUAGAUAUGCGGAGGAACACCGAUGGCGAAGGCAAUCCCCUGGACCUGUACUGACGCUCAUGCACGAAAGCGUGGGGGAGCAAACAGG